RNAcentral lists this ribosomal RNA (460 nucleotides) under uncultured bacterium. Its description in RNAcentral is "partial 16S ribosomal RNA". It matches the Rfam family "Bacterial small subunit ribosomal RNA", at positions 338 to 795 of the family's 1533-position model. The record is from RNAcentral.
CCUACGGGUGGCAGCAGUGAGGAAUAUUGGUCAAUGGACGGAAGUCUGAACCAGCCAUGCCGCGUGCAGGAAGACUGCUCUAUGAGUUGUAAACUUCUUUUGUACAAGGGUAAACCUGGGUACGUGUAUUCUUCUGCAAGUACUUUACGAAUAAGGAUCGGCUAACUCCGUGCCAGCAGCCGCGGUAAUACGGAGGAUCCAAGCGUUAUCCGGAUUUAUUGGGUUUAAAGGGUGCGUAGGUGGAUUGAUAAGUUAGAGGUGAAAUGUUCGGGCUUAACUCGGGAACUGCCUCUAAUACUGUUGAUCUAGAGAGUAGAUGAGGUAGGCGGAAUGUAUGGUGUAGCGGUGAAAUGCUUAGAGAUCAUGCAGAACACCGAUUGCGAAGGCAGCUUACCAAUCUAUAUCUGACGUUGAGGCACGAAAGCGUGGGGAGCAAACAGGAUUAGAUACCCGAGUAGUC